This 573-nucleotide long non-coding RNA is filed under the name Homo sapiens (human). RNAcentral's name for it is "non-protein coding lnc-ARHGEF26-14:1". Lineage: Eukaryota; Metazoa; Chordata; Mammalia; Primates; Hominidae. The record is from RNAcentral.
GCAAAAGACCAUGUAGCUUCAGAAAGAGAAAGAUAUCCAUUUUUCUAGAUCCGAAGACUUUCUUAUACUCAGGUUCAAUCUGCACAAAGCUCACCUCUACUUUCUGUCUUGGAUUUCUCUGCUUUGAGCAACACUUAUCUUCCCUUUCUGUUGAGCUAUUUUCAGUGUAUUUUUGUACCUUGCAAGUAAUGACUAAAUGGGGUACAAGGUAGGAAAAGAGGUAAGAGGUUUUAUGUGAAUUGUGGAAAGAUGGAUGGAGUUUCACAAAAAAGCAUCAAAAAAUUGGAGAGGAAGACAAAAAAGAAAAAGAAUUAAAGAGAAGGAAACACUCCUCACACAGGGUGUUGUGGGAGACACCUGAUGAGAGGUGACUGGAUCACGGGGCCAGUUUCCCCCAUGCUGUUCUCAGGAUACUGCGUGAGUUCUCAUGAGAUCAGAUGGAUUUUUAAGGAGCUCUUCCCCCUUUGCUUCCUUCACACACUCUCUCCUCUGCCUUUUGAAGAAGGUCCUUGUUUCCCCUUCACCUUGCACCAUGAUUGGAAGUUUCCUGAGGCCUCCCCAGCUAUGUGGAAC